RNAcentral lists this transfer RNA (63 nucleotides) under Arescus labiatus. Its description in RNAcentral is "tRNA-Pro". Lineage: Eukaryota; Metazoa; Arthropoda; Insecta; Coleoptera; Chrysomelidae. The record is from RNAcentral.
CGGGGUGUAGUUUAAUUAAAAUGUUAAUUUUGGAGAUUAGAGAUAGAUUUAAUCUUUCCCCGA